This is a long non-coding RNA of Salvelinus sp. IW2-2015, 1022 nucleotides long. RefSeq lists it as uncharacterized. The transcript has 3 exons. NCBI's taxonomy places the organism in Eukaryota, Metazoa, Chordata, Actinopteri, Salmoniformes, Salmonidae. The record is from RefSeq and is a predicted model, not a curated record.
UUCAAAUGUGUUCUGAUUGAUUUUAGAUGUUUUAUUUAGUCAUUAUCCAUCACUAUGUUCAUUGUUGGAUUCAUCAGUAUUGUUGACUGUGAAUUUCAUACAUGGAGAUACCGUUUUGUUUAAUAGACAGAGACAGCGGAUUCAUAACGACUAUGUAACAGAGCGGACUUCUGGUGGAUUUAUGGAUUUCUGCCCGAGCUGCUUGCUUGUGUGUGUGUGGGUGUGUGGGUGUUUAGGUGACUGUGUGAAUAAUUGUGUGAGGAUUCCGCACGUCUAUUCUCAACAGUUAAUGCUGGCAGAGAGCAGAGAAGUGUGUUAUUGAGACACUUAGCGUGGAAACACACACACAGAKACCUACACACACACACUCAGUGCUGUCACACACUGUCUGCCGAUGAGCUCUGUCAUGCAGUCGUUUCUCUCUCCAGUGAACAAGGCUAUUCUAGUAGCUCUGUUCAUCUUCGCCAUCCUCCUCAUCCUCUAUGUGAUCCUCUGGUACAUCUGUAGAGACGUGGACUGCGACCACGGCAUCUGAUCUGAUUAACAUCGGGAACACCACCGAAUAACCUAACGGUGGAGAGUGACCCGUCUGAAAGAGGGUCACCCUGAGCUACCCAGACAACAUGGCAGAGGUGGUAUAGUGACGGGAGGCAUCAGGGGAAACUGCUUUGAGACCGCAAGACACAUGGCCAGACUGGGGGCACACGUUAUCAUAGCUGGACAGCAUGAGCGGGAGGGUGUGUCUACUGUGAAGACGAUUCGUGAGGAGAACAGAGAGGCCAAAGGUCACAGUCCACACAACCCUGUUUGGUUUUGUAUCUCCUUGGCUCUGGAUAUUACUGAUUGGCUGGAGAGUGAACACACCUUUUCAAAGGUAGAAAUCAUUCCCUAGUUAUAAGACAGAAUUACCCUCUGCUCUAGUGCGUCACGUCAGUUAAGGUAGAGAGGGCGUCAUUGAAGUAGAUUUCCAGGCUGGGACUGUUGCAGGAUCGAUUUCUCUUCGUUAAGACUAAGAGGGUGGC